UCAAGUCGAACGAACCCUUCGGGGUUAGUGGCGCACGGGUGCGUAACGCGUGCGAACCUGCCUUUAGGUUCGGAAUAACUCAGAGAAAUUUGAGCUAAUACCGGAUGAUGUCUUCGGACCAAAGAUUUAUCGCCUUUAGAUGGGCCCGCGUUAGAUUAGAUAGUUGGUGGGGUAAUGGCCUACCAAGUCGACGAUCUAUAGCUGGUCUGAGAGGAUGAUCAGCCACACUGGGACUGAGACACGGCCCAGACUCCUACGGGAGGCAGCAGUGGGGAAUAUUGGACAAUGGGCGAAAGCCUGAUCCAGCAAUGCCGCGUGAGUGAUGAAGGCCUUAGGGUUGUAAAGCUCUUUUACCAGGGAUGAUAAUGACAGUACCUGGAGAAUAAGCUCCGGCUAACUCCGUGCCAGCAGCCGCGGUAA
This 420-nucleotide ribosomal RNA is filed under the name marine bacterium SIMO-IS187. Its description in RNAcentral is "bacterial SSU rRNA". It matches the Rfam family "Bacterial small subunit ribosomal RNA", at positions 57 to 523 of the family's 1533-position model. Lineage: Bacteria; Pseudomonadati; Pseudomonadota; Alphaproteobacteria. The record is from RNAcentral.